Molecule: ribosomal RNA, 490 nt
Filed under: uncultured bacterium
Lineage: Bacteria
Description: partial 16S ribosomal RNA
Rfam family: Bacterial small subunit ribosomal RNA
Source: RNAcentral
AUUGAACGCUGGCGGCAGGCCUAACACAUGCAAGUCGAACGGUAACAGGGAUCAGCUUGCUGAUUCGCUGACGAGUGGCGGACGGGUGAGUAAUGUCUGGGAAACUGCCUGAUGGAGGGGGAUAACUACUGGAAACGGUAGCUAAUACCGCAUAACGUCGCAAGACCAAAGAGGGGGACCUUCGGGCCUCUUGCCAUCGGAUGUGCCCAGAUGGGAUUAGCUAGUAGGUGGGGUAACGGCUCACCUAGGCGACGAUCCCUAGCUGGUCUGAGAGGAUGGACAGCCACACUGGAACUGAGACACGGUCCAGACUCCUACGGGAGGCAGCAGUGGGGAAUAUUGCACAAUGGGCGCAAGCCUGAUGCAGCCAUGCCGCGUGUAUGAAGAAGGCCUUCGGGUUGUAAAGUACUUUCAGCGGGGAGGAAGGGAGUAAAGUUAAUACCUUUGCUCAUUGACGUUACCCGCAGAAGAAGCACCGGCUAACUCCGUG